RNAcentral lists this ribosomal RNA (465 nucleotides) under uncultured bacterium. RNAcentral describes it as "partial 16S ribosomal RNA". It matches the Rfam family "Bacterial small subunit ribosomal RNA", at positions 28 to 507 of the family's 1533-position model. The record is from RNAcentral.
GACGAACUCUGGCGUCGUGCUUAACACAUGCAAGUCGAACGGUAAGGCCCCUUCAGGGGUCCGCGUGUGGCGCACGGUUGCGUAACACGUGAGCAACCUGCCCUUGACUCUGGGAUAACAGUUUGAAACAGCUGCUAAUACUGGAUAUUCAUCGUCUCCUUCCUCGGGGGUGGUGGAAACCUCCGGCGGUCAGGGAUGCGCUCGCGGCAUAUCAGCUUGUUGGUGUGGUAAUGGCUCACCAAGGCUUCGACGGGUAGCCGGCCUGAGUGGGCGACCGGCCACACUGGGAGUGAGAUACGGGCCAGACUCCUACGGGAGGCUGCAGUGGGGAAUAUUGCAAAAUGGGCGCAAGCCUGAUGCAGCAACGCCGCGUGCGGGAUGACGGCCUGCGGGUUGUAAACCGCUUUCAGUAGGGACGAAGGGUGACUGACGGUACCUACAGAAGAAGGACCGGCUAACUACGUG